Helicoverpa armigera (cotton bollworm) is the source of this 389-nucleotide long non-coding RNA. RefSeq lists it as uncharacterized. The transcript is spliced from 3 exons. The record is from RefSeq and is a predicted model, not a curated record. NCBI's taxonomy places the organism in Eukaryota, Metazoa, Arthropoda, Insecta, Lepidoptera, Noctuidae.
CCUAUACCUUUAGGUGCCGGUCUAGGUGUGUUUAGCACACUAACCCUGCCUCGCGGCGUUCGCUUCGGCCCGUAUCGUGGACAACGGACCAAAGAUGUCGACUCUAUGUAUUGUUGGCAGAUCUUCAAUCGCCACAACAAGCGUUCUCACGUGAUUGAUGCAGUUAACAGCGAUCGUUCCAACUGGAUGCGCUACGUCAACUGCGCGAGACAUUGGAAGGAGCAGAACUUAUUAGCUUAUCAGUUUAGAGGACAACUUUAUUAUAGGACAAUAAAAAUAAUCCCUCGCUUCACGGAACUCCUAGUGUUCUACGGAAGCGAGUACGCCAAUGCUUUGCGAAUAAACCUAGCGAAAUACAACUCUGUCGAUUACUACAGACAAGCUAUCAG